ACGUAUGAGAGUAACUGUUCAUACGUUGACGGUAGUUUAACCAGAAAGUCACGGCUAACUACGUGCCAGCAGCCGCGGUAAUACGUAGGUGGCAAGCGUUAUCCGGAUUUAUUGGGCGUAAAGAGAGUGCAGGCGGUUUUCUAAGUCUGAUGUGAAAGACCUUCGGCUUAACCGGAGAAGUGCAUCGGAAACUGGAUAACUUGAGUGCAGAAGAGGGUAGUGGAACUCCAUGUGUAGCGGUGGAAUGCGUAGAUAUAUGGAAGAACACCAGUGGCGAAGGCGGCUACCUGGUCUGCAACUGACGCUGAGACUCGAAAGCAUGGGUAGCGAACAGGAUUAGAUACCCUGGUAG
Molecule: ribosomal RNA, 352 nt
Filed under: uncultured bacterium
Lineage: Bacteria
Description: bacterial SSU rRNA
Rfam family: Bacterial small subunit ribosomal RNA
Source: RNAcentral